AGGUGACGGUGGCAGCUUGAUGGCUCAUAUAUAGUUCCAUUUAAAGCUAAAUCUCAAGGAGCUUUUCAUCACUAGAUGAUGAAUGAAAAGUAGGGGGAGUAUAUAUAUAUAUAUAUAUAUAUAUAUAUAUAUAUAUAUGAGAGUAAUAUAUAGGAGCAUGGCGUCAGAUUUUGUUGAAGAUCUUAUUAAAGCAUAUAGUUGUAUAGAGUAAAUAGGGUUAUGUACUUACUACUGGAGUUGGACAGCCAUGUCCAUAUGACAGUCUUUUUGCUUGAAAUGUCCACUUCAAUUCAAUACUAUAUGCUACUUCAGGCCAGGCAUCAUUUCUUCCCUACACUAUUGAGAUACCAACUUUGAUACUCACUCAAUCUCCUCCACCUUCUACCUUCCUCUUCCCCAUCCUUCCUUAUCAUCCAAUCCCUUUCUCUUCAUUAUUAUAUAUAUACAGAGGCUUUUACAGGAAAAUUUCUUAAUGAACAACAUUCUAUGUGAUGGAUGCUAAAAACACCCGAUUUGUAUUUAAGAAGAAACACAUUUUGAGAGAGUUGCUUCAGUCAAAGUGAACCAGUGUUCUUGCAGCCAAACAAAAGACACUGCGAUGGAAGAAGUUAAAGCUGAAGAAUUCUACAUAAGGAAUCAGAAUUCAACAAAAAUAAUUGGGUUUUACUGUAAAGGGACAUGAAUUUUCAAAUAUUCUCUGCCAGACGCUACAUUGAAAUAUUCAUCGUAGCUGGAUAUUAAUGUAUUUUUGGUCAUUUUUUAUUCUUAUAUCACGUUAGUGGCAUUUUCCUGUA
Molecule: long non-coding RNA, 794 nt
Organism: Nicotiana tabacum (common tobacco)
Lineage: Eukaryota; Viridiplantae; Streptophyta; Magnoliopsida; Solanales; Solanaceae
Source: RefSeq, a predicted model, not a curated record